CCGACGCGCUGAGGGCCGGGUCAGGCCGCAUUUGGCUCGCGGGCCGGGGGUUGAGCCGAGCGCUCUGCGGGGGGGCGGUUCCCCCACGUGACGGGAGGGCGGCUCAGACCGAGCGGUGCGAGCGCAGGGGAGGAAAUUGAGCUGACAUGGAGCCAGCAGCCCCUCUGUUACCCCUCUGGGCCGAAACCCUGUUUGUGCUGUGCGUCAAAUAGGCCCCUGCCACCCAGCAACCACACCUUACUCUUUCUGCAAAUGAAAACAGACUCUCACCGGUUUUCAGCAGCACCUUCACGAUGAAAACAGAGUUGAUGGAUUGAUGCUUUUUUCCCCUCACAUUCAAAAAAAUAACUUGAAUUUAAA
Gavialis gangeticus (Gharial) is the source of this 360-nucleotide long non-coding RNA. RefSeq lists it as uncharacterized. The transcript has 2 exons. Lineage: Eukaryota; Metazoa; Chordata; Crocodylia; Gavialidae. The record is from RefSeq and is a predicted model, not a curated record.